Molecule: long non-coding RNA, 238 nt
Filed under: Carica papaya (papaya)
Lineage: Eukaryota; Viridiplantae; Streptophyta; Magnoliopsida; Brassicales; Caricaceae
Description: long non-coding RNA (CPAP_LNC015761)
Source: RNAcentral
AAAACCAUAAGAUCUCCAUACCCCGUCCGGCAUGUGAGACCACAAUCCCGGUAGGGUUCCCUACGGACCCGGUCCGUCCACCAUCUCCCAGGAUAUCUAGUCAGGCUGACCCCAUUACACAAUUAUCAAUUUAUACAAUCUUCCAUUCUUCUUUCCCUCAAUCAGCAUCGUCAAUUCACAUUUAAACAAGCAAAUCGUAAUUCAUGCCAAACAGACAACAUACAGUAUCAGUUUUUCA